Molecule: long non-coding RNA, 1222 nt
Organism: Rhineura floridana
Lineage: Eukaryota; Metazoa; Chordata; Lepidosauria; Squamata; Rhineuridae
Exons: 6
Source: RefSeq, a predicted model, not a curated record
CAGCCAAUCCCGUCGCACGCGAGACGCCUGGCAAGCAAUCACCGCCGGGCUGCCCGGCGCUUGGUGAACGUGAUAGCUCGUUGGCAGGAGGUGGUCUGUCUGCGCUGUGGGACCGAGAGAAGCAUGCCGCUGUGUUGACACAGUUUCAAGCGAGCAGACCCUCGGCUCAAGCAGGGAGGGCCUUCCACAACACUGGUGCCACCUAUGAAAAAGCCCACCUUCGUGUUACUACAAGCUGAUAAUCAUCAGGCUGUGGCAAAACUAACUGGAUUCUAUUUACUGAUCUUAAUGCCCUUAUCGGGCAGUAGAGAGGAAGAUGGUUUUUCAGGCUGCUUUCCCAAAGGUACAGGACACCCUCUGUACCAUCUCACACCCUGUUCCAUGCAGGCCAGAAGGAAGAUCCAUCCCAUGGCUUGUAGGAGUGACCAGGAUGCUCCCAGCUGUUCCUCUGUGAGGUUGUUAAUCUACAUUUUCCAGGCAGAUGCCUUCAGGACAAGACAGUUGUGCAACAGGAUCUCAUCAGCCCUCCAUUCUGUUUAAUAAAGGUGAUGACAUUUCAGAAGGGGUGGGGAACCUCAGGUACAGGACCAAAUACGGCCCUCUGAACUCUCCCCACCAGGCCAUAUCCCUCACCGGCCCUGCUCUGCACUCCAAGAGUUUUUGCCAGGCUGGAAUGUGUCCUUGUUUGUCUGGACGGAGGACAGAGAGCAGCAUGUGUAGUAACUAGCUUACUGUAUAAAGCCUUUGGAAUGCAAGAUCCAUCAGAGUUUGAGAAGGUGACCCCCUUAAAAGGCGGCCAGUGUUGCAAAGAGCAGUUUCUGACAGAAGGAGAGAAUCUGGAGUUGGUCAUGGCUGGUAUGGCAUACAACUUAGCUCUGAGCUUUGCUGGUAAGAAUGACACUUCUCUUGAGUCUAGGAUUGACAAAAAGGCCAUUCUUGUUGGACAAACUGACAAGGAGCUUGGAAUGCUUAUUGGGGCUGCAAAGGAGCUGCUACUCAGAUCGUGUUUUGCACAACAUGUUUGCAGUGUUUUGGCUUCUUGGUUACUUGGGGGGUAUAAUUAGUCUUAAUGUGAAUUUCUCAAUUUUAAAACCCCUGCCAGGAACCAUUUGAUUCCCUGCUAAGCAUUACACUGCCUUUUGUUUUCUCUGUGUUAAUUCUUUGGGUGGCUAUAUUGCAACAAAUGUACUAUCAACUAAAAAAAAAAUAGACGUGUAUGUUA